CUGCUUGCUUGCCUUCCUUCCAUCCCCUUCCUUCCUUCCUUCCUUCCUUUCUCUCUCUCUCUCUCUUUCUUUCUUUCUUUCUCUCUCUCUCUGUCUCUCUUUCUUUCUUUCUUUCUCUCUGUCUCUCUCUCUCUUCUUCUUUUUUGGCAAGUCUUGCGUGCUCUGUCCCCUAGGCUGGAGUGCAGUGACAAUCACAGCUCAUUGCAACCUCGACCUCCUAUGCUCCAGCGAUCCUCCCACCUCAGCCUCUUGAGUAGCUGGAACUAUAGCCAUGGGUCACCACACCUAGCUAAUUUCUAAAUUUUUUGUAGAGACAGGGUCUCUCUAUGUUGCCCAGCUGGUCUCUAACUCCUGGACUCAAAUGAUCCUCCUGCCUCGGCCUCCCAAAGUGCUGGGAAUUCAGGCGUGAGCCCUGAUGCCCUGCCACAAAUGACCUUUUCAAGCAAUUUUUCAAAAAGUCUGUGUGAUUCCAAAUGUGUAUUCUUUAGAAAACAGUUGAUGAUUGUGCGUGCUUGGCAGGAAGAGACCACGUACAGAACGUUUCUUGCUCUGUUUGCUUUGGUGAAAUCCUCGAGCAAUGAGGUUAUCCCAUUGCAUGAUCUUAACGUACAGAAGACUUUGUAUUUACCAUCAAUUUUCAGGUGAAUUCUCAAAAAAUCUGCAUACCACUUAUCUUUCCUUUCUAUGUGAAAUAGUUUUCAUUAACUCCAUUUGUUAGCAUAUAAAUAAUAACUUUAGGUUAAUGUAUUUUACUCUUCAACCCAUACCAGAGGCAGGCUAGAAAUGAUAAUUUAUUCUCCAAAUGCACAUAAAGUUUAAUGAUGUAUGCUGCAUAAGUGCCUUCUUGUUAAACACACACACACAAGUGCACAGAUUUUAUGUAUUAUUUUUCCAUUAUGAUUAUGCUUUAGAAAAGCCUUUGCAUGCCACCCUGCAGAACUAAUAAGUGCCUGAGCACAGAGUUUCCUAGGAUGGGGGGAGCUUGCUUUAAAAGAUGGUAUAGUUAAAAAUUGCUGCUGAAACUUGCUUUUGAGGAAAAAAUAAGUACUUGGCUCAAGCACUUGGUCUCUACUUGGUCUCUGAGAAAAGGGUAAGCUAUCUAACACAUGUCUACUCCAAACACAUCUGUGAGGACAAGGAUGGUCUGAAAGCCCACAUGCAGAGAACAUAACUAGGCCUGGUUUGUUGAUAGCUUUUUCCCUUUGUCCUCACCUCCCUAUCUUCCUGCUACUGGAAAUUAUUUAUCUAUCUAUCUAUCUAUCUAUCUAUCUAUCUAUCCAUCCAUCUAUCUAUCUAGAUAUAGAUAUAGAUUUAUCCAACAGAACAAAGGCUGGAAAAGGACAUCUCUCCACUUUCCUAGGCUGCCCCUGCCUCCCCAGGACUGUGUCACCUCCCCACCCAUCCACACUUCACCACCCUUCUACCUUUGCCUUGGGCUGUUCUCCUGUGGGGCACAGAGAGUGUGGGGCUCCUGACAUGCCGACAUUCAGGGGAAGAAGAGGAAGAGUGUUCCAAUGAGGCUCCGUUUAUUUUUUUAUUUUUUGAGACAGGGUCUCACUCUGUUUCCCAGGCUGGAGUGAGUGGCACGAUCACAACUCACUGCAGCCUUGACCUCCCAGGAUCAGGUGAUCCUCCCACCUCAGCCUCCUAAGUAGUUAGGAUCACAGGUACAUGCCACCACACCUGACUAAUUUUUUGUAGAAACGGGGUCUCACUUUGUUGUCCAGGCUGGUCUCAAACUCCUGGGCUCAGGCAAUCCUCCCGUCUUGGCCUCCCAAAGUGCUGGAUUUACAGGUGUGAGCCAUGGCGCCUCACCUGGGGAUCCUUUUAGUACUGAGGGAAGGAAACCUUUCCCAGAAGCUUCCCAGUCACCUUCCCUUUCUUCCCAUUGGCCACGACUAGGGUGCAGGCACCUUGGGAAGGGUGGACCACUGUGACUAACCCAAUGCAGGACAUGGCUGGCCAAGGGGAGGAAGGUACAUGAGCCAGGACAAUUCAAGCUCCAUCAGAAAACGGGGUCAAUAGUAUCCCCUGGGAGAAGCCGUGCAAUGCCUGCCACAACCCUGCAGAGUCCCAGCAGCUGAGGGGGUCUAUUCCAGGGGCGAGAUCACGGCCUGCAAUGUGUGAGCUGGGUCUCAAGAGGGAGAGAGGGAACAGGCUGGAGAGAUGGAAGUCUGGGAGAGCAGCUCCUCGGGAGAGCACCAUGCAUGAGGAGUGAGGCUUGGGGCAGCUGGGAGAGGACCUAGAGAUGGGGAGAGAGAGAAGGAGUGUGGCCAGGAGCACAGGGGGCCACUCAGGCCAGAGAAGUGGGAACUGAAAAUGCUCUGGUGAAGGGGAGAGCAGCAGCUGGGCCUGAGACCAGAAAAGCCCCCAUGGGCUGCUGGAGGCUCGGGGAGGUGGCAGUGAGCUCUGGGCUCAGGGCACAAGAGGCUUUUGGAGGCUGGGUGCUGGCUGGACUCUGUUUGCCAGCCUUCUCUGUAAGUCCCAGGCAUUAGAGCACAGCAAGCAGGAAUAACAGGAGCCCUGGGCCCUUAGAAGGAAACUGAGGAGAAGCCUGGAUGUCCAUGCUGUGUUCCUGAGUUUUAAGGUGACAUUUUCUUGGCCACUUUUUAUCUGCAUGGUGUUGGGGAGACCCUGCUGAGGCUAGGGUUCUUGUUCUGGUCUUGGAGGUGGCACGGCUGGGGCCUGGAGGGAGAGCUUGGCACAGCUCCCAGGCUCUGCUGGGGCCCAGCUCCGCUCAGGAAUUAUCAGUCACUCAGAGAAAACUCAAAGGGCACUAGGCCUCCAGCAGUCAGCAGCAGUCACAACCAAAGUGGGGAGUGGCUCCAUUUGCCUUCUCCACCUGAGCUAGUGCUCCCCUUUCUCAUGCUUCCUUUAUCCCCCACAUUGAUGAGCCACUUUUUCCUCCUCUUCAUCUGCACUGCCACACCCCACCCCGAACACUUAGCAUCCCAGGUGACUUAGCUGGAGGGAACCUGCUAUGGACUGAAUUGUAUUCCCCUAAAUUUAUAUGUAGAAGCUCUAAUCCCCAGUGUGAUGGCGUUAGGAGGUAGGGCCUUUGCAGGGUGAUUGGAUCAUUUGCAUGGAACCCUCUUGCAUAGGAUUAGUGCUUCUGUAAGCAGAGACAUAAGAGAGAUGACUUCUUUCCUCCACGUGAGACUAUAGCAAACAGGCAGCUCUCUGUGACCCAGGAAGCCAGCCCUCCCUAGAACCUGACCAUGCUGGCACCCUGAUCUUGGACUUCUAGCCUCCCCUCCAGAACUUCGAGGAAUAAAUGUUUGUUGUUUGAGCCACCCAGUGUAUGGUAUUUGUUAUGGCAGCCCAAACUGAGUGAAACAGAACCUUAGGGGUUACCUGGUCAAAACCCCCCUUGUUCAGAUGAUGAGAGGAGAGAGGCCCAGGCCAUCAGGCAGGUGAGGUCUGUGGCCAGCCUCAGACUUUAGUUUCCUGAUGGCAUUAAGAAUCUCUGCUCUGAGCCUGGAAUGAAUACAGGCUCUACCUGUUUUUAGCUGUGUGCAAAUUACCACGCACUGUGGUUUCCCAUCUAUAGAAUGGGGCUGUAAGGGACCUGGCCUCACAGGCUCUGGGGAUUAGAGGAGAUGGAGCAGGCAAAGCACUGAAUCCACUGAGGUCUCAGUGCUCUCAGUGAUUAUCAUCAUUGUUGUUGA
RNAcentral lists this long non-coding RNA (3668 nucleotides) under Homo sapiens (human). RNAcentral's name for it is "HSALNT0162098". The record is from RNAcentral. Lineage: Eukaryota; Metazoa; Chordata; Mammalia; Primates; Hominidae.